This is a long non-coding RNA of Rhinopithecus roxellana (golden snub-nosed monkey), 1129 nucleotides long. RefSeq lists it as uncharacterized. Lineage: Eukaryota; Metazoa; Chordata; Mammalia; Primates; Cercopithecidae. The record is from RefSeq and is a predicted model, not a curated record. The transcript is spliced from 2 exons.
AAAAAUUAGCCAGGCGUGGUGGCCCACGCCUGUAAUCACAGCUACUCGGGAGGCUGAGGAUUAUAACCAAAACAGAUGUGUGAGAGGUGACAGAGAGAAGAGGCCAUUGGUCUCAAUAAGAAUGCCCUACUUUCUGCAUCUCUGUUUCAGAAGACCAAGAGGGUGACUUUCCAGGCUGAGUAUUUCUGGGGACAAUACAAGUACCUGGGCAUGAAUUUCCAUUUUGAUUCAGAUGGGACUGGAAACAACCAUUCAAUUUUAUGAAUCUUACUGGACAUUAUGGAUCUACUGGAAUUAUUCCAGACGUUAUGCCCUUUGGUUGUCAUUACCUUGCAAAUGUGUAAGAGGAAAAUGUGCUAAUAUGGCAGUGACUGUAAAACUGGCACAUGGCAUUUAUUAAUCCUGAAGAAAAGUAUGUGUACUGUUUUUCAGUAUAAAUAUAACGAACAUGUUAGAACUAUUUCUUGAAAACCUUUUUAUUACUUUUGCGUGAAUUUAUUUAACAAAGAUGUUUUGUCUUCUGUGUAAGGGAGGUUCUAGAGGCUAGAUAUUUAAUUGUAAAUAUGUGAGGAAACUCAAUGCAGAAUUCAGGAUAAAAAUUUUAAAAGCACAGGUAUUUGGGAAUUGAAAUGUUAAGAUACCCAGAACAACAUUAAAUUGAUGAGUGAACUUGUGACAGUGGUAGCAUUUCAAAUUUCAAAAGACUUAUCCUGUAUAUAUAUAUAUAUAUAUAUAUAUACACAUAUAUAUAUAAUAUUCAGCAACACCAAGUUUUAUAACUGUUGUUUGAUUUAUUAAUACUAGAAUAUGUAGUCUCAGCCUUAAUUUUACAUUUACAUUAUUUUGUAAUUUUUUAUUACUAUUUUUAAGGGGUUAAGGAGAACAUACAUUCUCACAUUAAUGUACUUUCUGGUAGAAAGUUGCUGCAAAAACAUUUGAAAUGUAUAUUAACUCAACCUAAUGUAUGUCAUAUAUAUGUCUUUGUGUAAGUUCAAGACUAUUAAUCUGUGAAGUUAUUUUGUAAGGACAUGCAUUUGGUAAGUUUGUGUCCCAGGAAAUGUUGUGUGUUUUUAAACCCUUUCUAAAUAUGCAGGCCGUUAAUAAAUAAGAUUGUUUCUUCCCUACUGAA